This is an unclassified non-coding RNA of Macaca fascicularis (crab-eating macaque), 148 nucleotides long. It matches the Rfam family "Metazoan signal recognition particle RNA". From Rfam's summary of the family: The signal recognition particle (SRP) is a universally conserved ribonucleoprotein. The record is from Ensembl. NCBI's taxonomy places the organism in Eukaryota, Metazoa, Chordata, Mammalia, Primates, Cercopithecidae.
GCCAGGCGUGGUGGCGCAUGCCUGUAAUCCCAGCUAUUUGGGAGGCUGAGACAGGAGAAUCGCUUGAACCCAGGAGGCAGAGGUUGCAGUGAGCCGAGAUCGCACCACUGCACUCCAGCCUGGGCAACAGAGCAAGACUCUGUCUCAA